Molecule: unclassified non-coding RNA, 4239 nt
Filed under: Hevea brasiliensis (rubber tree)
Lineage: Eukaryota; Viridiplantae; Streptophyta; Magnoliopsida; Malpighiales; Euphorbiaceae
Source: RNAcentral
AAAAAACCUAGAAAAGCCCUGGAAUUACAAAGAAGACUAGUAGACAACGUAUAAGCGAUGACGCAGUGAACGAACUCGACGAAUAAAAUAACAAAAUGUUCCAGGGGGCGUUGGCGAUGGAAACAGAGUGGGGCAGAUCAAAUCGUCCACCCACCCUCUCAUCGUCUUCUCCGCCCGCUUUCUCUCUUUUUCCCUCCUCUCCUACCCUCCCACACACAUUCACACCCCUUUCCUCUCCCUCUCUCUUUCUCUCCAAUCCAUUAUUCUCCUUUCCAUGGCUUCCUCCUCUCCUUUCCUCUCCAAAAUCCCCAUCUCCAACAAAACCAUCUCCUUCACUUCCUCUCUCUCCCCCCUGCCUUCCACAUUUCCUUUCAAAUCCGUUCGCCACCACAGACGAAAUGCGUUGAGGGUCCAAUCGAAGAUCCGGGAGAUCUUCAUGCCCGCUCUCAGCUCCACCAUGACUGAGGGCAAGAUCGUCUCCUGGAUUAAAUCCGAAGGUGACGUCCUCUCCAAAGGUGAAAGCGUCGUCGUUGUUGAGUCCGAUAAGGCCGACAUGGAUGUUGAGACCUUCUACGACGGCAUUCUCGCUGCAAUUGUUGUGCCUGAGGGUGAAACUGCUCCUGUCGGUGCUCCUAUCGGACUUUUAGCUGAGACUGAGGACGAAAUUGCUGAAGCCAAAGCAAAAGCCAACUCAAAAACGGGUAGUACUGGUUCUGAAGCUGUUGCUUCCACUCCUCCUCCUGCUACUUCUGCUCCUGCUCCCGCAAUUUCGCAACCCGCAGCUGCUCCCGCGAUUCCUGCUGUUGAGGGGCCCAGGAAGAUAGUGGCGACGCCGUAUGCAAAGAAGUUGGCCAAGCAGCAUAAGGUGGAUAUCAACAAGGUAGUUGGAAAGGGGCCGUUCGGGAGGAUUACUCCGGCUGACGUGGAGGCAGCGGCAGGUAUUACCCCUUCCAAACCUGUGGCUCCGAAGCCUACUCCAGUAGCGGCCGCUGCUGCUGCCCCUUCUCCUCCAGCUAAACCUGCUGCUACUCCAUCAGCUCCUCCACUUCCAGGAUCUACGGUAGUACCGUUUACAACAAUGCAAGCGGCAGUGUCAAAAAAUAUGGUGGACAGUCUUUCAGUACCCACUUUUCGGGUUGGAUAUCCAGUGACAACCGAUGCACUUGAUGUACUAUAUGAGAAGGUGAAACCAAAAGGUGUGACAAUGACUGCAUUAUUGGCAAAAGCUGCAGCCAUGGCACUUGUUCAACACCCAGUCGUGAAUGCCAGCUGCAAAGAUGGGAAAAGUUUUACCUAUAACAGUAACGUUAACAUUGCAGUGGCAGUGGCAAUCAAUGGCGGAUUGAUAACCCCUGUUCUUCAAAAUGCAGAUAAGUUGGAUCUAUACUUAUUAUCACAAAAGUGGAAAGAGUUGGUGGAGAAAGCCAGAGCAAAGCAACUUCAGCCCCAGGAGUACAAUUCAGGGACAUUCACUCUAUCCAAUUUGGGAAUGUUUGGAGUGGACAGGUUUGAUGCUAUUCUUCCUCCUGGUCAGGUGAGCUAUGAUGGUUAGCUCUUUUUCCUCUGUUUUUGAUUUUUUCUCCUUAAUCAUAUGAAGAUUCCAAAGUAGGUACAGCCUAAGUAAACUAGGAGGACAUGUUAUUAACUAUGUUUCCUUGAGGAAAAGGAAAAACAGAAAACAAGAGGAAGAAGAAAUUGUGUGUAUAAAAACCUUUCAUAAAAAGCAUCAAAACAUUAUGCUGGAUUUUCAAAAGCUUGCAAAUAUUAUUCUCCACGAACUUGACAGAACAUAGCUAAUGGAGUGAUAUCCUAUUUUUGAUUUAGCUCUGCAUAAACACUGCUCCAAAAUGCACUAUUAAGUAGUGUCAACCAAUUUAUGCCAAUAGUAAAUAUAUCAAUUACCAAAGAGUUCCUACCUAUUCACAGAGAAGAAGUAAUUUUUUACCAAUUACACAUCCCUUUUACAAAGAAAAUGUCUAUUUACUGGCAUUUCCCUCAUCUCAUCAUAGUAUCAAAUGGUUGAAGUUCAUUCCCUUGAAGCUUCUCAAGCAGAAAAGGAUAAAUGUAAGUGAACUUACAGUUCUUAAACAGCUUUUAAGGAAAAGGCUUUAUAUAAUGAUACUUUGCCCUAAGUUUCCUUCAUCCUUCCCCCCAUUCUAUUUAUAGAGGACUGAACUGAUUAAGGGCUUUCGUUUGAAUUCAUGUAUACCUGUAUCUCCAAAUUCUGGGGUUUAAAAGUAGGGCUUGGCAUUGCCAGAUCUCAACUCAUACAAAAGCAAUUGCCUAACAACUCUUCUGUUUGAAACUAAUGAGAAAGGAGCCAGAAAUUUCUUAUUGUGUGAAUCCCCUGACCAAGAAUAAUGCCCAAAACAAAUAGAAGUUUCAUCACUCACAUCAAUAGUGAAGCAAAACCAGCCCUUUCUAGUAAGCUACCAUAUGAGUACUCCAUGCGUAAUUCUAUUAACUUCAAUUUAGCCUAUGAAAGCCCUUCAUAAGUAAUCUUUCUACACCUUGAAUCUUUGUUACUAUUUUCCCAGGGCAGUUCUAUUCAGAACUGUUUAAAUUUUCAUCCCUAUCCCUCCCUUCCAAAUAGUAGAAAUUCAUCCUCUGCACUUCCCAAAAGAGCAUCUGAAUGCCACCUAUCUUCUUGCAACAAACGGACAUGAAAUAAAUAGCAAAACUUGAUAGUUACUUUCAAUGGGAGUGAGCUUCCCAGAUCUGCUAGUUAAGGGAAUCUACUCAUUGCUGUUUUUUUAUUAGUUAAUGAAAUAUACUUGCAGCUGUUUUUCUAUUAGUUAAUAGAAACUACUAAUUGCUCUUUUAAUCAUUUGCUCAAACUUUGAAAUGUUGUUCAGGGGGCUAUAAUGGCGGUUGGAGCAUCAAAACCAACUGUGGUGGCUGAUGCAGAUGGAUUCUUUUGUGUUAAAAGUAAAAUGCUGGUGAGUUUGAUUUUUGAUCCCCUUUUUUUCUUUAAUAAAGAAUAUAUGACAAUGAUAUAGACCUGCAUUAAAAACUUUCUAAUAACUUAGAUUCUGUGCUUUUUAAGUAGCGAUUUAUUGUACAUAUUAUUUGUAAUGUUAUUCUCAUGCCAAUAAUGGACUCAAAUUGUCCAAAUUUUGAUCACAUUGAGGUAUCAUAGAAAUUUGAGUGGAAGAAAUAUGUUGAGCUGAAGAUGCAGCGUUAAACUAAGAAUUUGAAUUUGAUGGGGUCCUAUACAGAUUCUUUUUCCCUUGGACAUUGGAUGUCAAUUGAAUAAAUAUAUAUAUAUUUUUAAUCUCAUGUCUGUAAUCUGUACUGGCUAGUAAUGUGGAUAAAGACUUGAUUCAACUGAAUAAAACCUUAAAAUGAAAAAUCACUUUCAUGGUUCAUGGCGUAUCAUAAUAUCAUAGAAAAAUUUGCACACUGAGACGAGGCAAAUGUUUAAAAUUUCAGUAAAAUCUUGGCUCUGUUAUGUCCUAUCUGAGGUAGUGAUACUGAUGCCUCUACUUUUAUACCUUGGCAUGUUUUCUAUAUAAUUAAAAUAGCUGUUCAUUUUCUCAAAGUUGUUGAUCUACAUCUUCUUCAAGGGGAAGAACAUAGAGAACAUAGAUCAUGUUUACAAAUCUCAACUGUGAAAAGCAAAAGCCAUGCCUUUCAAUUUUUUUAUGGCCUCCUCAGCUUCUGUCUUCAGAUAUGGAGAAAUAUAACUUAUUGCUGAAAAGACUGCCACUAAAUAAUUCUCUCUACAAAUUUUUUAUGGUAAAAUGUUUCAAAUAUUUUUAUUCAGCAAAUGCAAAAAUGCCCAUCAACUGGGAGCAUGUAUUUGGAUUUUGGAAGUUUUGCAUUUUGCUUACAGGUAAAUAUUUGCAUGGAAAAACUUAAUCGAAUUGUAUUUGAUUUUUUCCCCAGGUGAAUGUGACAGCUGAUCACAGAACUGUCUAUGGUGCUGACUUGGCUGCCUUUCUUCAAACGUUCGCAAAGAUUGUUGAGAACCCAGAAAGCCUGACAUUGUAAUGACGUUUUGGGCUUUCAGGCCACGGUUCUGCUGAUUUUGAGUUACCUACUAUUUGGUUGUUGUCAAGAUGCUGGUGCCUACGAAACAAAGCGCUCGGCCGGCGAGGCCGGUUUUGCAGUCCUCUUUAGCGAUAUUAUGCUCAUGUUGUAUUUUUUUAAAAUGUUUUAAUUAUAAGGAUUACAGUGACAUCGAGUAGAUUUUUAAAAGAAGGGAAUAAUAAUAUUUCAAAUUUUUAGCUUUUGACA